AUUCUACCCAUGUGGGGAAGGAUGAGAAGCUUCGACUAAGGUUCGAUUCGAGCGCAGCGAGAAAGCGUUGCCAACGGCAACGGCCCGAAGGGCGAAGCGCGCAGCGCUGAGUAAUCCUUCCCCCACCACCA
Molecule: small RNA, 131 nt
Filed under: Salmonella enterica subsp. enterica serovar Agona
Lineage: Bacteria; Pseudomonadati; Pseudomonadota; Gammaproteobacteria; Enterobacterales; Enterobacteriaceae
Description: RtT sRNA
Rfam family: RtT RNA
About the family: This family represents a bacterial cis-regulatory element known as RtT RNA. The exact function of RtT is unknown although it is thought that it may be involved in changing the cellular response in relation to amino acid starvation.
Source: RNAcentral